UACGUAGGGGGCAAGCGUUAUCCGGAUUUACUGGGUGUAAAGGGGGCGCAGACGGCAAUGCAAGCCAGGAGUGAAAGCCCGGGGCCCAACCCCGGGACUGCUCUUGGAACUGCGUGGCUGGAGUGCAGGAGGGGCAGGCGGAAUUCCUGGUGUAGCGGUGAAAUGCGUAGAUAUCAGGAGGAACACCGGUGGCGAAGGCGGCCUGCUGGACUGCAACUGACGUUGAGGCCCGAAAGCGUGGGGAGCAAACAGG
RNAcentral lists this ribosomal RNA (253 nucleotides) under uncultured bacterium. RNAcentral describes it as "partial 16S ribosomal RNA". It matches the Rfam family "Bacterial small subunit ribosomal RNA", at positions 524 to 776 of the family's 1533-position model. The record is from RNAcentral.